Molecule: ribosomal RNA, 571 nt
Filed under: uncultured bacterium
Lineage: Bacteria
Description: partial 16S ribosomal RNA
Rfam family: Bacterial small subunit ribosomal RNA
Source: RNAcentral
UGGGGAAUUUUGGACAAUGGGCGAAAGCCUGAUCCAGCAAUGCCGCGUGUGUGAAGAAGGCCUUCGGGUUGUAAAGCACUUUUGUCCGGAAAGAAAUCCUUGGCUCUAAUACAGUCGGGGGAUGACGGUACCGGAAGAAUAAGCACCGGCUAACUACGUGCCAGCAGUCGCGGUAAUACGUAGGGUGCAAGCGUUAAUCGGAAUUACUGGGCGUAAAGCGUGCGCAGGCGGUUUGCUAAGACCGAUGUGAAAUCCCCGGGCUCAACCUGGGAACUGCAUUGGUGACUGGCAGGCUAGAGUAUGGCAGAGGGGGGUAGAAUUCCACGUGUAGCAGUGAAAUGCGUAGAGAUGUGGAGGAAUACCGAUGGCGAAGGCAGCCCCCUGGGCCAAUACUGACGCUCAUGCACGAAAGCGUGGGGAGCAAACAGGAUUAGAUACCCUGGUAGUCCACGCCCUAAACGAUGUCAACUAGUUGUUGGGGAUUCAUUUCCUUAGUAACGUAGCUAACGCGUGAAGUUGACCGCCUGGGGAGUACGGUCGCAAGAUUAAAACUCAAAUGAAUUGACGGGGU